This 481-nucleotide long non-coding RNA is filed under the name Phoenix dactylifera (date palm). RNAcentral's name for it is "long non-coding RNA (PDAC_LNC011139)". Lineage: Eukaryota; Viridiplantae; Streptophyta; Magnoliopsida; Arecales; Arecaceae. The record is from RNAcentral.
CACAUUCAGGAAGCGUUGACUUGAUAUUGUUCGCUAUACUCAUCCGCAUAAACAUAAUGCUCAAUCUAUUCGAUCUUUCCCAAGUCUUAUAAAAAGAUCUUUCUUCCGAGCUGCUCAAAUCAGUAAUGUCAGCCGGUUUCUCAGAUUGGAGUGCUAAAUCAAGAUCCAAAACACCUAAGUGAAACUGGACUUGUUCAUUCCACUCUGUGAAAUUAGUUCCAUUAAAGAUCGUAACAGAUGAAGCUUGCGAAUGAAGCGAAACAGGAAUAGAUACUGCAAUAAGAAAAUUAACAAUAAGAAAAUGCUUACAACAUUAACACUUUGAGUUAGCAAUAAUUAUGAAUAACAUAAACAGUGUUACCAUAAUACACCUUUGGGUAGUAAUUAUGAAACACUAAAUUACUAUUAUGGUGAUUCCCAAUUCAUCUAGGAAUAAUUAAUGAUAUAGGUCCAAAAUUCAAAUAGGUCUGUUGCCUUUGAG